This is a long non-coding RNA of Cebus imitator (Panamanian white-faced capuchin), 561 nucleotides long. RefSeq lists it as uncharacterized. The record is from RefSeq and is a predicted model, not a curated record. Lineage: Eukaryota; Metazoa; Chordata; Mammalia; Primates; Cebidae. The transcript has 2 exons.
GCCAAUGUGCUCGAGCCUUUGUGUUAUCACUUAAAUGAGGUGAAUCACUCCUGGAAUUGGAGCUGGGAAGCGGGCCAUGUUCCUAAGUAGCCAAUGGCACCCAGCCAGACUAAAGAAGCCCCAGAAACUCCAGGGCUGUGAGAACCACAACAAGAGCCAUAUCUGCAAGAACCAGGAGUAACUGAAUGCUGGGAUAAUGCUGGUGACAGGCAUUACAACAAAUGUCACCCAUGUGAUGUGGAAAGAUUGGUCUGAGACAACCCACAUCACAAGGAAAUAGCUUCUGCCCUACUGCUAUUCUUACAAACCUUGGUCAGUGCACAGACACAUCAGUGGUACCAAAACAAAGCUAGAGCUGCCAUCACUGAUGGUGAUUGGGCAACUAAAAAGUUCUAAGGGAGGGCAAUCCCCUAAAGCAGUCCAUCAUCCCAAAGACAAAAUUCCUCAGCAGAAGAGCUAAGGAGAAGAGUAAUGGCAUGUGUGUGUGGAGGGGAAGGGGUCUGUGUCCUGCGGGCGUGAAGCCACAAGAAGUCAAUUAAACGAUAAAUACUUUGGAAAAUA